UAGCAUAUCAAUAAGCGGAGGAAAAGAAACUAACAAGGAUUCCCCUAGUAACUGCGAGUGAAGCGGGAAAAGCUCAAAUUUAAAAUCUGGCAGUCUUUGGCUGUCCGAGUUGUAAUCUGGAGAAGCGUCUUCCGCGCUGGACCGUGUACAAGUCUCCUGGAACGGAGCGUCAUAGAGGGUGAGAAUCCCGUCUUUGACACGGACUACCAGUGCUCUGUGAUGCGCUCUCAAAGAGUCGAGUUGUUUGGGAAUGCAGCUCAAAAUGGGUGGUAAACUCCAUCUAAAGCUAAAUAUUGGCGAGAGACCGAUAGCGAACAAGUACCGUGAGGGAAAGAUGAAAAGCACUUUGGAAAGAGAGUUAAACAGUACGUGAAAUUGCUGAAAGGGAAACGCUUGAAGUCAGUCGCGUUUGCUAGGACUCAGCCUGGUUUCGGCCUGGUGCACUUCCUAGUAAACGGGCCAGCAUCACUUUUGGCUGCGGGAAAAAGGUUAGAGGAAUGUGGCACCCUCGGGUGUGUUAUAGCCUCUAGCUGUAUACCGUGGCGGGGAGUGAGGAACUCAGCACGCCUCUGGCGGGGCUUCGGCCACCUUCGUGCUUAGGAUGCUGGCGUAAUGGCUUUAAACGACCCGUCUUGAAACACGGACCAAGGAGUCUAACAUGCCUGCGAGUGUUUGGGUGGAAAACCCGAGCGCGUAAUGAAAGUGAUAGUUGGGACCUCUGUCGUGGAGGGCACCGACGCCCGGACCAGACCUUCUGUGACGGAUCCGCGGUAGAGCAUGUAUGUUGGGACCCGAAAGAUGGUGAACUAUGCCUGAAUAGGGUGAAGCCAGAGGAAACUCUGGUGGAGGCUCGUAGCGAUUCUGACGUGCAAAUCGAUCGUCAAAUUUGGGUAUAGGGGCGAAAGACUAAUCGAACCAUCUAGUAGCUGGUUCUGC
RNAcentral lists this ribosomal RNA (936 nucleotides) under Phanerodontia chrysosporium. RNAcentral describes it as "partial large subunit ribosomal RNA". It matches the Rfam family "Eukaryotic large subunit ribosomal RNA", at positions 36 to 960 of the family's 3401-position model. The record is from RNAcentral. Lineage: Eukaryota; Fungi; Basidiomycota; Agaricomycetes; Polyporales; Phanerochaetaceae.